RNAcentral lists this ribosomal RNA (791 nucleotides) under uncultured archaeon. RNAcentral's name for it is "bacterial SSU rRNA". It matches the Rfam family "Archaeal small subunit ribosomal RNA", at positions 85 to 879 of the family's 1478-position model. The record is from RNAcentral.
ACUGCUCAGUAACACGUGGAUAACAUGCCCUAAGGUGGGGGAUAAUCUCGGGAAACUGAGGAUAAUACCCCAUAGGUCUGAUCUGCUGGAAUGCUUUCAGGCCGAAAACUCCGGUGCCUUAGGAUUGGUCUGCGGUCUAUCAGGCUGUAGUGGGUGUAACGGACCCACUAGCCCGUGACGGAUAUGGGCCUUGAGAGAGGGAGCCCAGAGAUGGACUCUGAGACAUGAGUCCAGGCCCUACGGGGCGCAGCAGUCGCGAAAACUUCGCAAUGGGGGCAACCCCGACGAGGGAAUUCCAAGUGCCAGCACUUUGUGUUGGCUGUUCUUCUGUCUAAAAAACAGGAGGAGUAAGGGGCGGGUAAGACGGGUGCCAGCCGCCGCGGUAAUACCCGCGCCCCUAGUGGUGGUCGAUAUUAUUGAGCCUAAAACGUCCGUAGCCGGUCUUCUAAAUCCUUGGGUAAAUCGGGCAGCUUAACUGUCCGAAGUCCGGGGAGACUGGAAGACUUGGGACCGGGAGAGGUCAGAGGUACUUCUGGGGUAGGGGUAAAAUCCUGUAAUCCUGGAAGGACCACCGGUGGCGAAGGCGUCUGACUAGAACGGAUCCGACGGUGAGGGACGAAGCCCUGGGGCGCAAACGGGAUUAGAUACCCCGGUAGUCCAGGGUGUAAACGCUGCGGGCUUGGUGUUGGGGGUCCUUAGUGGGCGCCCAGUGCCGGAGAGAAGUUGUUAAGCCUGCUGCUUGGGGAGUAUGUCCGCAAGGAUGAAACUUAAAGGAAUUGGCGGGGGAGCAC